AAUGAAACUUCCGUGUCAGCGGCUUGCUUGAAUGCGAGAUAUGGUCGUUUCGGGCUGGAAUUUAUGUCCGUUACGCCAUAU
RNAcentral lists this small RNA (81 nucleotides) under unclassified sequences. RNAcentral's name for it is "dinG RNA". It matches the Rfam family "dinG RNA". The record is from Rfam by way of RNAcentral.